RNAcentral lists this ribosomal RNA (301 nucleotides) under uncultured bacterium. RNAcentral describes it as "partial 16S ribosomal RNA". It matches the Rfam family "Bacterial small subunit ribosomal RNA", at positions 509 to 807 of the family's 1533-position model. The record is from RNAcentral.
CAGUAGCCGCGGGAAUACGUAGGGUGCAAGCGUUAAUCGGAAUUACUGGGCGUAAAGCGUGCGCAGGCGGUUAUAUAAGUCAGAUGUGAAAUCCCCGGGCUCAACCUGGGAACUGCAUUUGAGACUGUAUGGCUAGAGUGUGUCAGAGGGGGGUAGAAUUCCACGUGUAGCAGUGAAAUGCGUAGAUAUGUGGAGGAAUACCGAUGGCGGAGGCAGCCCCCUGGGAUAACACUGACGCUCAUGCACGAAAGCGUGGGGAGCAAACAGGAUUAGAUACCCCGGUAGUCCCUGUCUCUUAUAC